This 1155-nucleotide unclassified non-coding RNA is filed under the name Hevea brasiliensis (rubber tree). Lineage: Eukaryota; Viridiplantae; Streptophyta; Magnoliopsida; Malpighiales; Euphorbiaceae. The record is from RNAcentral.
GGCAGUGAAUGGGAUCAACCUCCUCCAGAGAUGCGGCCGUCAGGUUCAAUUGCCAUAAAGGAUUAUGCAAUUGAAACUCCUUUGCAAGGAGACACAUUUCAAGAGGUGAAGAUCGACAUAAAUUCUAAGUGGUCUAUAGCAGCUAUAAAUUUUGUGUUGAAGGAUGAGGAAACUGGAGUUUGGUAUCAGCACAGAGGGCGGGACUUCAAGAUUCCUCUUGUUGACUGCCUUGACAAUGAUGCUAAUAUCGUUGGUGUUAAAAAGGAGUCGAACAUAUGGUCAGGAUCACUAGGAAAGCUGUCCAACAUACUCCUUAAUCCAGAAGCUUCUCCUUCUAAAGGGGAAUCAAGCAGCAAUGAGGGGUCUAGUGCGAAAAACAGGCGUCUUGAAGGGUUUUAUGAGGAGCAUGCCAUAGUAAAAGAGACUCUUGUCGAUAACAUAGUUAAUGUCUCUGUUAAGCAGUGUCCAGAGACUGCUAAGAAUAUUUUGUGUAUAGAUACUGACUUACCUGGAAAUGUAAUUCUUCACUGGGGAAUCUGCAAAGGUGAUACUAAAAUAUGGGAACUUCCUGCAAUGCCAUAUCCAGCGGAAACAAUAGUGUUCAAGAAUAAGGCACUGCGGACUUUGCUGCAGAGAAAAGAGGGAGGUAAUGGUUCUUCGGGAUUGUUUACUUUGGAUGUAGGACUUGCCGGAUUUGUUUUUGUGGUGAAGCUAGAUGAAAAUACGUGGUUGAAUUGUAAGGGAGAUGACUUUUAUGUACCUCUGUCAAGUGGCACAUUACAUUUGGAGGAAAGUAAACAAAGCGAGGAGUCAAAUUCUUCCCAGAUAGUCAAUCGUACGCCUGAGGAGAGCCAAAUAGGCUCUGUGUAUACUGAUGAAAUAAUAAAAGAGAUAAGGAGUUUGGUGAGUGACAUUUCUUCUGAAAAGAGCCGAAAGACAAAAAAUAGGGAAACACAGGAAACCAUUCUUCAAGAAAUUGAGAAGCUGGCUGCUGAAGCUUAUGGUAUAUUCAGAAGUUCAAUCCCAACAAUACUAGAAACUGUUGUUUCUGACUCUGAGGUUGUACAACCUGACGUGAAAGUAACUUCAGGAACUGGUACAGGAUUUGAAAUUUUGUGCCAGGGUUUUAAUUGGGAAUCUCAUAAAUCUGGAAGA